GCGCAGUUGCGCUUGCUACACAUGCAAGUCGAACGGGACUAGCAAUACAUUAGUGGCGGACGGGUGAGUAACGCGUGAGAAUCUGCCAACAGGACUGGGACAUGUGUGGGAAACCGCUGCUAAUCCCGGAUGUACCCAAAGGGAAAAGAUUUAUCGCCUGUUGAUGACCUCGCGUCUGAUUAGCUAGUUGGUGGGGUAAAAGCCUACCAAGGCAUCGAUCAGUAGCUGGUCUGAGAGGACGAUCAGCCACACUGGGACUGAAACACGGCCCAUACUCCUACGGGAGGCAGCGGUGGGGAAUUUUCCGCAAUGGGCGAAAGCCUGACGGAGCAAGACCGCGUGAGGGAGGAAGGCUCUUGGGUUGUAAACCUCUUUUCGCUGGGAAGAUUAUAAUGACGGUACCAGAGGAAUCAGCAUCUGCUAACUCCGUGCCAACGGCCGCGGUAAGACGGAGGAUGCAAGCGUUAUCCGGAAUGAUUGGGCGUAAAGCGUCCGCAUGUGGCAAUUCAAGUCUGCUGUUAAAGCGCAGGCCUUAGCUCUGUAAAGGCAGUGGAAACUGAAUAUCUUGAGUGUGGUAGGUGCAGAUGGAAUUCCCAGUGUAGCGGUGAAAUGCGUAGAGAUUAAGAAGAACAUCGGAGGCGCAGGCGCUCUGCUGGACCAUAACUGACACUCACAGAACGAAAGCUACGGAAGCGAAUGGGAUUAGAUACCCCGAUACUCCUAACCGUAAACGAUGGAUACUAGGUGUAGUCUGUAUCCUCCCGGACAGUGCCGUAGCUAACGCGUUAAGUAUCCCGCCUGGGGAGUACGCACGCAAGUGUGAAACUCAAAGGAAUUGACGCGGGCCCGCACAAGCGGUGGAGUAUGUGGUCUACUUCGAUGCAACGCGAAGAACCUUACCAGGACUUGACAUGUCGCUAAUCUGAGUGAAAGCUCCAAGUGCCUUCGGGAGCGCGAACACAGCUGGUGCAUGGCUGUCGUCAGCUCGUGUCAUGAGAUGUUGGGUUAAGUCCCGCAACGAGCGCAACCCUCGUUUUUACUUGCCAUCAUUAAGUGGUCACUCUAAAGAGACUGCCGGUGACAACGGAGACGUGAGAUACGCACUCAGUGCUCUACUCUGGCUACCCUCAGAUGUAAGACGAGGCACUAUCGGAGGUACUAUCCGAACCUGCUCAUAGAUCCAGCCCACCGCUGCUAAGAGAUCUUCAUCCCGUGGAUGGGAUGAUCUUCCGGCU
Molecule: ribosomal RNA, 1235 nt
Filed under: Lyngbya aerugineo-coerulea PACC 8601
Lineage: Bacteria; Bacillati; Cyanobacteriota; Cyanophyceae; Oscillatoriales; Microcoleaceae
Description: bacterial SSU rRNA
Rfam family: Bacterial small subunit ribosomal RNA
Source: RNAcentral